RNAcentral lists this ribosomal RNA (295 nucleotides) under uncultured bacterium. RNAcentral describes it as "partial 16S ribosomal RNA". It matches the Rfam family "Bacterial small subunit ribosomal RNA", at positions 335 to 647 of the family's 1533-position model. The record is from RNAcentral.
AGGCCUACGGGGGGCAGCAGUGGGGGAUAUUGCACAAUGGGGGAAACCCUGAUGCAGCGAUGCCGCGUGGAGGAAGAAGGUUUUCGGAUUGUAAACUCCUUUUAUCAGGGACGAUAAUGACGGUACCUGAAGAAAAAGCUCCGGCUAACUACGUGCCAGCAGCCGCGGUAAUACGUAGGGGGCGAGCGUUAUCCGGAUUUACUGGGUGUAAAGGGAGCGUAGACGGCAUUGCAAGUCUGAUGUGAAAGAUUGGGGCUCAACCCCAGGCCUGCAUUGGAAACUGUAAAGCUGUAGU